GUGGGAGUAGUUCAGUUGGUAGAGCCCCUGAUUGUGGAUCAGGUGGUCGCCGGUUCAAGUCCGGUCUCCCACCCCA
This 76-nucleotide transfer RNA is filed under the name Candidatus Fermentibacterota bacterium. Its description in RNAcentral is "tRNA-His". It matches the Rfam family "tRNA". From Rfam's summary of the family: Transfer RNA (tRNA) molecules are approximately 80 nucleotides in length. Their secondary structure includes four short double-helical elements and three loops (D, anti-codon, and T loops). RNAcentral also lists the same sequence under 3 other names. Lineage: Bacteria; Pseudomonadati; Candidatus Fermentibacterota. The record is from RNAcentral.